GAUAAGAUCAAGCAGAGAACAUGGUAAGCUUUUUCAAUUUUGUUUUGGUUGCUGCCUUUUUCAUUAGAUCUGUUGAAAUUAUUUCAAAAAUUUUUUAUCGUUUGGGGUUUGGAUCUAAUACUUCAUUUCUGUAAUCUGGAUUUGCUGCGCUAUUUCAUUCCAGUUGUGUUAACAGAAACAAUGGUUCAUUGUGUGAUGAUUUUUUUUUUUUUUU
Molecule: unclassified non-coding RNA, 214 nt
Filed under: Hevea brasiliensis (rubber tree)
Lineage: Eukaryota; Viridiplantae; Streptophyta; Magnoliopsida; Malpighiales; Euphorbiaceae
Source: RNAcentral